CCUACGGGAGGCAGCAGUGAGGAAUAUUUGUCAAUGGCCGGAAGGCUGAACCAGCCAUGCCGCGUGAAGGUCAGUGCCCUAUGGGCGUUAAACUUCUUUUGUGCGGGAGCAAUAAUGGUCACGUGUGGCCAGACGAGAGUACCGUACCAAUAAGCAUCGGCUAACACCGUGCCAGCUGCCGCGGUAAUACGGGGGAGGCAAGCGUUAUCCGGAUUUAUUGGGUUUAAAGGGUGCGUAGGCUGUGAGGUAAGUCAGCGGUGAAAUGCCCCCGCUCAACGGGGUGAAGGGACAUUGAUACUGCCUUGCUGGAAUGCGGAUGCCGUGGGAGGAAUGUGUGGUGUAGCGGUGAAAGGCAUAGAUAUCACACAGAACACCGAUUGCGAAGGCAUCUCACGAAUCCGCGAUUGACGCUGAUGCACGAAAGCGUGGGUAUCAAACAGGAUUAGAUACCCCUGUAGUC
This 460-nucleotide ribosomal RNA is filed under the name uncultured bacterium. Its description in RNAcentral is "partial 16S ribosomal RNA". It matches the Rfam family "Bacterial small subunit ribosomal RNA", at positions 338 to 795 of the family's 1533-position model. The record is from RNAcentral.